CACAUAUUUCAAGAGCCAGUUUGGUCGUUGAUGGUCAGUAUUUGAAGGGAAACCACCACUCAUAACCCUCCAAAUGCCUUCAUUGUCAUUCAAACCCCUCCUUCUAAUGACGAAGAGAUUCAAACCCACUCCACCCUCCACUCCCUCCACAAAGCCAUCGCCACCGCCGCCGUCUCCCCCUACCCCUCAACUCUCCCAUUCAAAACCAACCACUGUCUCCAUCCACCACUCAUCCAAAAACCCAAACAAAACCCUAACCCUCCUCAAAUCCCCCCAAUCCCCAUCAUCCUCCAACUGGGUCUCUCUAAAUCUCACCAGAUCAGACCUCUCUUUGCCUCUCACUUUCCCCACCGGCCAAACCUUCCGCUGGAAACAAACCAACCCCCUUGAGUUCACCGGCGUCGUUGGCUCUCAUCUCAUCUCUCUCAACCAUCUUCCAAACGGCGAAGUUUCAUAUUGCCUUCACUUUUCUUCUACAUCCACCUCCUCCUCCGCCGCCGCCAGAUUGGCAUUACUUGAUUUCCUUAACGCCGGCAUCUCCCUGAGUUCCAUUUGGGAGGUAUUCUCGGCGGCUGAUCCGGGAUUCGAUGCGUUGGCUCGCCAUUUGGAGGGGGCUCGAGUUCUCAGGCAAGACCCACUUGAAUGUUUGAUUCAGUUUUUGUGUUCUUCCAAUAAUAAUAUUGGGAGAAUCACUAAAAUGGUGGAUUACAUCUCAUCACUCGGGAAUUAUUUGGGUAAUGUUGGAGGUUUUGAUUUCCAUGAAUUCCCUUCUUUGGAGAGGCUGUCCUUGGUCUCUGAGGCUGAGCUUAGAGAGGCAGGCUUUGGUUACAGGGCUAAAUACAUAAUUGGCACUGUGAAUGCACUGAAAGCAAAACCUGGUGGAGGUGCAGAAUGGCUUCUGUCCCUUCGUGAUUCAGAUCUUGAAGAGGUGAUUGGAGCCCUUUCUACUUUACCGGGCGUGGGUCCAAAGGUAGCAGCUUGUGUCGCUCUCUUCUCUCUUGACCAGCACCACGCCAUUCCUGUUGACACACAUGUCUGGCAGAUUGCUACAAGGUACCUUGUUCCUGAGCUUGCUGGUGCACGCCUAACACCAAAGCUUUGCAAUCGUGUGGCUGAGGCAUUUGUCAGCAAGUAUGGAAAAUACGCUGGAUGGGCUCAAACUCUGCUUUUCGUCGCUGAGUUGCCUCAACAGAAGGCCCUUUUACCAGCAACUCUUGAGAAUACCAAAAGGAAAAGAUCUACAAAGCAGCAGAAAGAUAUGGCACAUGCUGGUAACAUAGAUCAAUGUGAAUAGCUAUAUUUAGUUGGUCUCAGGAUUUCCAGGUUGACGUAAAUCCUGUUUCUCUUGUAGAGCAAGAUCUAUAGUUGUUACAGAUCAAAGAUGAAGAUGCGAGAGGACUCCAAAAAGAAUGAAAUAAGCUGUGGUAAUGGAGAAAAGAUUAUUGCUAAAGCUAUUUAUAUAUUGAAAGGUACUGUGAAUUAUCAUGCCAUGUACUUCAUGCUAGGCGUAUUCAAUCAUUUACGUGCAUUGUGCAUCGACCAACAAUGUUUUCGUGACGUGUGGACAUGGAUCGCCUUGAAAGUUCAGACUUGAGAUUGGAAUUGAGCAUUUGACCCUCCCCAGACACGCCUGAAUCAUCACAAUGCAAUUUUCAUGAGAAAACUCACAUGUUCUACAAUGGGUCUGGAGUUUGGCGAGUGACACAUUCCAAUAGCAUAGCUUUGACAAUCACCAGAUGGGGUACCAAAGCUUGCAAAUAAGAUGUUGGAGAUUUUCUUUUUACUAGGGCAGCUUAAUUGGACCUUAGGCCUUCUGGUUCUGUUCUUCGCACUUCUUACCUUUUGUUUCUUUGCACCCAUCCACGAAGCUACUAAAGGAUAAUGUGAUUCAGACACUUGCCCACAUGUUUUGGUAAUCAAAACGGAAUCCAAAGAUAUCUCAACUGGGUUUCCUGUUUCUUCUUCGAGAAUAACCAACUGGUUGUCAGUUGGCUUGAGGAAGGAACGCGGUACAUUAUACCUGGAUUGAACGAGAGACAGAAUUGUAUCAAAAAUGAGGAAACUAGGGGUAGGAAAUUUGAGACAUAAGGUAUGAUAUAAACACUAAAUAUCAAGGUGAGUAAACUAUUUACCAUUUCUGUGAAGGCUCCCCUUUUGGGGUAAGGAAGGAGACCCAGUACCGGCCAAUGCCCCGGCCGUUAACCCAAGCUGCACCCUUCCCCAUGGAACCAAGGUUCAGUGCAAUUGGAUCAUCACCAGGAGGUGCAUCAAACCGAGUCUGCCCGAUUAGCAAUGAAUGACAAUAACAAAGGUCAGUUCGUGAACAUUUGAAUUCAAGAUAGUUGCUAUUGAUUAUUGGUAGUACCUUGUACCAUGUGAGCGGCUGAGAAGAGUUUCCUAACCUGCUCCACUGAACAUUGCUUGACCCAGUGUCUAAAAAUAUUUGCGAUUGCUCUCCUGAUAGGCCAACCUUUGCAAAAUUGUUUGCAAAAAUAUUAACAAGAGGUUAGUUUUAAGUGUUUGCUUGCGGCUGUGUACUUUUUUGCAUAUUACAUCAGUUUCAAGUGUAUAUGAACAAUUAAUGAACCUUGUAUCCCCAUGGUUGUUCUGAGAAAUCCACGCCUUGAAUUCCCACUC
Molecule: RNA transcript, 2637 nt
Organism: Cucumis melo (muskmelon)
Lineage: Eukaryota; Viridiplantae; Streptophyta; Magnoliopsida; Cucurbitales; Cucurbitaceae
Gene name: N-glycosylase/DNA lyase OGG1
Exons: 5
Source: RefSeq, a predicted model, not a curated record